UUCUUGUCGUUGCUAGCGCCGGCGUAAUAUUUCGGCAGAUAACUAGCAAUGCUGAGAAUUCUUAAAUCUAAUCUUCGCGUUACAGCUUGAUGGUGCGAGACACGAUGUGCUGAAGUAAACAUUAACAAAUGUAGGUCUGUAGUGGGUAGCCAGACGUGCUAAUACUCUACCGGUUAAUGACAAAGAUAACACCGUCCUACGUUUUGUUUCAAGAACCAAAUAUUUCGAUGAUUCUAUCUUAUCUAACGUCAAUUGGACUACACACAUUUCGCUAUUGAUAAACAAUGCUUAUAGUUGAUUAAGCUACCUGAAAGGCAGAUUUUUCUGUCCCCACCAUCAAUCUGAUUCACUACAAAACACUUUUUCGAUCUAAACUCGUAUACGCUCGUAUACUCGUAUACUCGUAUAUCAGUUUAGAUUCCUAGUGAGAAUAUUUCAUUUAUUAAGUAGAAGUGCUAGAAUAUAUUCCGUACAUAAUAUAUAUUUUCAAAUUUCAAGAACAAACUUAAAGGCAAUGAAAUUAAAUAUACUGUUAGAAUCUUUAGUGUCGCGCCAUGACUUCAUCUGUGUCGCCCUCUCUUUUUCAGAAUAUAUUUUGUAAUCCUGCACUGAGGAACAAGCAACUUUCACCAACCCAUUACGUAUAAUCUCGGCUUCAUCUCUACCAAGAAAAUGCCAUGCUAAGCGGAUUCUGUCGCACCCUGACGUCGGUCGAGGCGAAGUACGUCAACUGGGAUGACUAGCUAUCUCAGCCGUCGUCAUCAGAAAAGAGGUAUUGCUCUGGCAAUAUGUAAUCACCUGUGAGUUCAUCUCCGAGGGUAAACAAAGCUAUCCGAAGAAGUUACAUAAAGGGGGAGGAAGACAGAAGAGGAUCUCCCACCUCGUCGCCUUCCCCUGACCCCAUCUCGGGCAAAUAAUAAA
Dermacentor andersoni is the source of this 921-nucleotide long non-coding RNA. RefSeq lists it as uncharacterized. The record is from RefSeq and is a predicted model, not a curated record. Lineage: Eukaryota; Metazoa; Arthropoda; Arachnida; Ixodida; Ixodidae.